CCCUAACCCGCAAGGGAGGGAGCCGUCGAAAGGUAGGUUGAUGAUUGGGGUG
RNAcentral lists this ribosomal RNA (52 nucleotides) under uncultured bacterium. RNAcentral describes it as "partial 16S ribosomal RNA". The record is from RNAcentral.